GUCAAUGGCCGAGUGGAUAACACGAUGGCAUUUGAAGCGAAAGGCACUGGGUUCGAGUCCCAGAGUGAACA
RNAcentral lists this transfer RNA (71 nucleotides) under Schistosoma mansoni. Lineage: Eukaryota; Metazoa; Platyhelminthes; Trematoda; Strigeidida; Schistosomatidae. The record is from RNAcentral.